GGUCAGGUGGUUUAGUAGUCAGGAUGUUAGCCUCGUAAGCUGAAGAUGCGGGUUCGAUUCCCGCCUCGGCCG
This is a non-coding RNA of Cydia fagiglandana, 72 nucleotides long. Lineage: Eukaryota; Metazoa; Arthropoda; Insecta; Lepidoptera; Tortricidae. The record is from the annotation of a RefSeq genome assembly.